This 215-nucleotide unclassified non-coding RNA is filed under the name Irpex lacteus. RNAcentral describes it as "ITS1". Lineage: Eukaryota; Fungi; Basidiomycota; Agaricomycetes; Polyporales; Irpicaceae. The record is from RNAcentral.
GUUUUGAACGGGUUGUAGCUGGCCUCUCACGAGGCAUGUGCACGCCUGGCUCAUCCACUCUUAACCUCUGUGCACUUUAUGUAAGAGAAAAAAAUGGUGGAAGCUUCCAGGAUCUCGCGAGAGGUCUUCGGUUGAACAAGCCGUUUUUCUUUCUUAUGUUUUACUACAAACGCUUCAGUUAUAGAAUGUCAACUGUGUAUAACACAUUUAUAUAC